Molecule: ribosomal RNA, 231 nt
Filed under: uncultured bacterium
Lineage: Bacteria
Description: partial 16S ribosomal RNA
Rfam family: Bacterial small subunit ribosomal RNA
Source: RNAcentral
UGGGUGAUCUGCCCUGCACCUUGGGAUAAGCCUGGGAAACUGGGUCUAAUACCGAAUACACCUCAUGGACUGCAUGGUUUGUGGGGGAAAGCUUUUGCGGUGUGGGAUGGGCCCGCGGCCUAUCAGCUUGUUGGUGGGGUGAUGGCUUACCAAGGCGACGACGGGUAGCCGGCUGAGAGGGUGACCGGCCACACUGGGACUGAGACACGGCCCAGACUCCGUACGGGAGCA